GACGAACGCUGGCGGCGUGCUUAACACAUGCAAGUCGAGCGGUAAGGCCCUUUCGGGGGUACGACGAGCGGCGAACGGGUGAGUAACACGUGGGUGACCUGCCCUCAGCUCUGGGAUAAGCCCGGGAAACUGGGUCUAAUACUGGAUAUGACUCCAUGACGCAUGUUGCGGGGUGGAAAGCCUUGUGCGGCUGAGGAUGGGCCCGCGGCCUAUCAGCUUGUU
This 222-nucleotide ribosomal RNA is filed under the name uncultured bacterium. Its description in RNAcentral is "partial 16S ribosomal RNA". It matches the Rfam family "Bacterial small subunit ribosomal RNA", at positions 28 to 250 of the family's 1533-position model. The record is from RNAcentral.